UAGUAGAAGAAUGUUGUGACAAAUGGCGUUGAAGUUAUCUGCUGCUGAAGCAGCUAAGGUUGCGAUUCAGUCUAUAGGAUGUGGAUAUGAUAUAUCAUUGGAUUUGAGGCUCAAGUAUUGUAAAGGUCAUCCAGAUAAUAGUCGUUUAAUUGAAAUUGAUGAAAAUGAGAGUGGGGAGGUUGUGCUUCCUGGUGGAAUUUCAAUACCUAAUGUGUCAAAAUCUAUCAAAUGUGAUAAAGGAGAACACACACGGUUUGGCUCUGAUGUUCUUUCUUUCCAG
This 280-nucleotide unclassified non-coding RNA is filed under the name Hevea brasiliensis (rubber tree). The record is from RNAcentral. Lineage: Eukaryota; Viridiplantae; Streptophyta; Magnoliopsida; Malpighiales; Euphorbiaceae.